CCUACGGUGGGCAGCAGUGGGGAAUAUUGGACAAUGGGCGGAAGCCUGAUCCAGCCAUGCCGCGUGUGUGAAGAAGGCCUUCGGGUUGUAAAGCACUUUCAGUGGGGAAGAAAGCCUUGGGGCUAAUACCCUCGAGGAAGGACAUCACCCACAGAAGAAGCACCGGCUAACUCCGUGCCAGCAGCCGCGGUAAUACGGAGGGUGCGAGCGUUAAUCGGAAUUACUGGGCGUAAAGCGCGCGUAGGCGGUCUGAUAAGCCGGUUGUGAAAGCCCCGGGCUCAACCUGGGAACGGCAUCCGGAACUGUCAGGCUAGAGUGCAGGAGAGGAAGGUAGAAUUCCCGGUGUAGCGGUGAAAUGCGUAGAGAUCGGGAGGAAUACCAGUGGCGAAGGCGGCCUUCUGGACUGACACUGACGCUGAGGUGCGAAAGCGUGGGUAGCAAACAGGAUUAGAUACCCCAGUAGUC
This 465-nucleotide ribosomal RNA is filed under the name Vreelandella stevensii. RNAcentral describes it as "partial 16S ribosomal RNA". It matches the Rfam family "Bacterial small subunit ribosomal RNA", at positions 338 to 795 of the family's 1533-position model. Lineage: Bacteria; Pseudomonadati; Pseudomonadota; Gammaproteobacteria; Oceanospirillales; Halomonadaceae. The record is from RNAcentral.